This 82-nucleotide transfer RNA is filed under the name Burkholderia gladioli. Its description in RNAcentral is "tRNA-Arg(gcg)". RNAcentral also lists the same sequence under 1 other name. The record is from RNAcentral. Lineage: Bacteria; Pseudomonadati; Pseudomonadota; Betaproteobacteria; Burkholderiales; Burkholderiaceae.
CGGCGAUCCUGGCGAACGUCGCGCCCGGGCCGCUGCGGGUGGCCUGCAAUGCCUCGCUGUCGUUCGACGUGUCGGUGGCCGA